CCGGGCUCUUUCCACUACGCGCCUCGCUAUUUUCUUAAUUAUUUUGUUCUUAUGUUACUUUUUUAAAGCGAAGCGCGUAGUGAAAAGAGCCUGGGU
RNAcentral lists this microRNA precursor (96 nucleotides) under Paramuricea clavata. The record is from RNAcentral. Lineage: Eukaryota; Metazoa; Cnidaria; Anthozoa; Malacalcyonacea; Plexauridae.